GCAGCUCCGGCGUCUACUACUUUGAUGGGAAGAGUUCAUCAUCAUCGUCACCAACUAAUAACAGAGGAUUUGGAAAAGUAAUUCUAGAGAUCCAAACUAUCACCUUCGCUUCUCACUAUCGCUCAACUCACCAUCGUCGUUGAAACUCACCAUCGUCGCCAACGCUAAUUGGAGGUCGAGAUCUUGCCGUCUUUUUCAUCACGAGACAUGAUUCAUGAGUCACCGCCGUUGCUUCUUACCGUUGUCAAAAUCGUUGUUGUUGCAGGAGCUCAAUCACCAUUGUAGGUUCAGUGAGCCGGCCCGGGAGAAGCGUUGCCAAAAAAGAAUAAAGACAAAGGUAACAAAUAAACAAAGAAGACACAACAGUGAAUUCAUCUAAUCCAAAGUUGUAUGUGGUUUCCGAAAUGCUUCCUUUGUCUUGUUCCGAAUCUCUCUGUCGAUGAACUUGAAAAUGGUGUUUCACGUUCAUUCAAUAAAAAAUAACAACCAUAGUGUACACAGAGACUGAU
This 509-nucleotide small RNA is filed under the name Arabidopsis thaliana (thale cress). Its description in RNAcentral is "putative long intergenic non-coding RNA". Lineage: Eukaryota; Viridiplantae; Streptophyta; Magnoliopsida; Brassicales; Brassicaceae. The record is from RNAcentral.